AACGCACCUUGCGCCCUUUGGCUAUUCCGAAGGGCAUGCCUGUUUGAGUAUCAUGAACACCUCAACUCUCAUGGCUUGCCAUGAUGAGCUUGGACUUUGGGGGUCUUGCCGGCCUGCGGUCGGCUCCUCUCAAAUGAAUCAGCUUUCCAGUGUCUGGUGGCAUCACAGGUGUGAUAAAUAUCUACGCUUGUGGUUCUCCACCAUGUAACCUUCAGUGAUGGAGGUUUGCUGGAGCUCACAAAUGUCUUCCCUCAGUGAAGACGCCCUUUGAUUGUUUGAUCUCAAAUCAGGUAGGACUACCCGCUGAACUUAA
This 313-nucleotide unclassified non-coding RNA is filed under the name uncultured Thelephoraceae. RNAcentral's name for it is "sequence contains ITS2". The record is from RNAcentral. Lineage: Eukaryota; Fungi; Basidiomycota; Agaricomycetes; Thelephorales; Thelephoraceae.